ACGAAUGAUGAGCAUACUGUGCGCUGUGUUUCCUUCAGUCUUCAGACCCCCCUCCAAGUAAAGUACCAUUAAGUUUAAAGUGAUGGAGCUGAUCCUUCAUCAGAGAAAGUGGUCCAAGAGGAAGCCAGAUUCCAUCCUCUGCCUGAAGGGGGCACUGACCCCCUCUGUACCUGCACUUUGAGGGAAAACUUCUUCCUAGGUUCCCCAUCCCUGGGGAGGCCUGUGACCUGGUGUCCUGGGUGGAAAUCUGGAGGCACCUGUGGUCACCAGACUCACCUUCCACAGCAGCACAGCCAGCAGCAGGAAGAUGAGGAUUCCCACCAGCAAACUGAUGGCGAUGAUCCAUCCCACAACGUAGCCACGGGGCUCCAGAUUGUGCAAGGCCUCAAAGACCACCUAGAAGGCAACACAAAAGUGAAACCAUGAGACCAAAGUUCAUGUCUUGAAAGAGCUAGAAAGAUAACGACCCUGAUUUCAAGUAUCACAAACUGAACAAAAGUAUAGUGAAAAAUGUCAGCCCGUGUUACGUUCCAAAACUAGAUGAUGAUCUUCUACCUUGCAUUCUGGUUCUGAAAUAAAGGACAUGGGAGUGUUUCUCAA
Peromyscus eremicus (cactus mouse) is the source of this 600-nucleotide long non-coding RNA. RefSeq lists it as uncharacterized. The record is from RefSeq and is a predicted model, not a curated record. The transcript is spliced from 2 exons. Lineage: Eukaryota; Metazoa; Chordata; Mammalia; Rodentia; Cricetidae.